RNAcentral lists this long non-coding RNA (434 nucleotides) under Marmota monax (woodchuck). Lineage: Eukaryota; Metazoa; Chordata; Mammalia; Rodentia; Sciuridae. The record is from RNAcentral.
GGGAGGGAGCCUGGGUGUGGCUCCCCGCGGCCCCUCUGCUGGUCCCCAUCAUCUCCAGCUGGAGAGCCGGGCUCAGGGAGGCUGAGUUCUGUGUCCUCGCUGGUACAUGGUGGGGCCCAGAUCUGAACCUGUGACUGGUUGGUGUUUUGUGCCCUUAAACUGCCCGAAUCUAGGUAAGAUGGGAAACCGAGGCAGGACAGGGGCCGUUCUGAAGCUGUGCAGAGCUGGUCAGCCCUAGAGGGGACUCUUCUCUUAGGAGCCCUGGUCCUCCUGGGGUGGAGGACUCCCCCGAGUCUGACAGUGUAUCAUGUUCCUCCACCAGGUGCAAAGUCUCUUCUGGCCCUGUUAUGGUUUAGAUAUGAGGUGUCCCCCAAAAGCUCAUGGGUGAGAUGGUGCAAGAAAGUUCAGAGGAGAAACGGUUGAGCCUUAACCCA